Molecule: long non-coding RNA, 1142 nt
Organism: Silurus meridionalis
Lineage: Eukaryota; Metazoa; Chordata; Actinopteri; Siluriformes; Siluridae
Exons: 3
Source: RefSeq, a predicted model, not a curated record
GAUUUAAGCAACGCCUGGCUUCGGGAUUUCACUUGUUUUUCGCGCUCUUGUAAAAAAGCAAUUGGUUACUGCCAUACCAGCUGCAAGUGUGCCUUCACCCUGCACUUGUCUGAAGUCCAUCUGCAUCAGUCAUUACAGGUUAUAGGCAUCAUUUCAAAACAAGAUGGCCAGCACUCUCCAGUGUGCGUGAGGUGUGUGCAAAAUUCAAAAGGAUCACUACAGUCCAUUUGCAGUCUAAGUUUUUCUCCCAGCUGGAUGUUCACUCUGCAAAUCUAAUCAAGGCAUAUAGUAAGAAGGGUGGAUUUAUAGGAAGGAGACUCAAAAGCAUCAUGACACCCAUGACCCAGGUAUUGAGUUUUAAAAAUAAGACACAUGCUCACAGUAAUGUCUUUUUUGCUUUGAUUAGGGAGAUGAUUUGAUGACAUUCUUACUUACUGACAUUGCUCUAUAUGGUAUUAGGAGAAAAGCCACACAUCAUGUGUGAGUUGCCAUGAUCAAAGUUUAGAAGCUGCCCUAAAUGUUACCUUCACAAAAUCUCUUGAUUUAGAGAUAAACUACACAUGCUGUCUGUGUCUCAAGUCAAGUCAUACUUGCACAAGCCAGAUCUUUUUUUUACAAAACAUGUAUGUCUAAACAUAUUGUAGAUCUUAAUUUAAUUUCUAUGGGGAAGAAACAAGCGGCAUGGUUCUUUUUCCAGAAAUGGUAUCCUUGAUAGGCCAUAUUUCUUUCUGUUAUAUUACAAUUAGUUAUAUUAUUUCAUUUUGCACUUCCAUGUAGAAAUUCACGUGCUUAUUCUCUGAUUUGCAGAACAAUAGCAUUGAUAUUGAACGUGAAUGCGUCCUAAAGGGACUUUGUGUGUACUUGAAUGAAGAUCCGGAGAAGCUGGUAAAGGAAUACGUGGUAUAUUGUUAUACCUUUUAGCUUCAGUAAGGGAAUAGUCUCUGUGAUAAUUUAAGGGUGUUCCUUGUGGGUCAGUUUUAAAUAUGUAUAAGAGAGGCAUUUCAAAGAUCUGGUUAUAUUUUGUGAUAAUUUAACUCUUAGCUGUUGUACAUUAAUAUGUUUAUAACGUUAUGAAAAGGGAUUUAAUUAAGGGAUGAGGUGGGAUGUAAUUAACAUCAGGGUUUAAAUGCACUGAUUAUUUU